RNAcentral lists this non-coding RNA (31 nucleotides) under Drosophila melanogaster (fruit fly). Lineage: Eukaryota; Metazoa; Arthropoda; Insecta; Diptera; Drosophilidae. The record is from RNAcentral. RNAcentral also lists the same sequence under 3 other names.
UUUGACCUCGGAUCAGGUAGGGAUACCCGCU